UUGCUUACAAAGAGUCGGAGCCCUUAACACCGCAAGGUGUCGGGUGACGGCGUGCUUUUUGCAGAACGAGCCAACGAGUCUGGAUAUUUGAUUUGUCUAAGCCCUUAUGGGGCGAAGGCGUAGCGAAAGCGAGUGUUAAAAGCGCGAAUUUAUCGAAUAUUCAGGACCCGAAGCCAGACGAGCUUACCGCGAGCAGGAUGAACCCUUGCGAAAGCGAGGGGGAGGUCCGAACUAGUGAGGCGUGCAAUCCUCUUGGAUGACUUGUGGUAAGGAGUGAAAAGCUAAUCGAGUUUGGUAAUAGCUGGUUCUUCCCGAAACAGCUUUGGGGCUGGCGUCUAUCGUCAGAGUACGGGGGUAGAGCACUGAAUAGAAUUCCUUGGAGUUUCUCCAGGUUUUCUAAUCAAACUCCGAAUACCGUAUUUAUUGGAUAGGCAGUUAGACUGCGGGGGCUAAGCUCCGUGGUCAAAAGAGAAACAGCUCAGAUCAUCGUCUAAGGUCCCUAAAUUAAACUAAGUGUUUUUAAGGAAGUAUUUCGCCCUCGACAGGCAGGAAGUUAGCUUAGAGGUAGCUAUCUUUUAAAGAGUGUGUAACAACUCACUGCCCGAACUUCAUUCUUUUGAGUGAGGAGGGGCGAGAUGCGCCAAAGAUUUCCGGGACUAAAGUUUAAUACCGAAGACAUGGAUUGGCACCAUUCGUGGUGCCAGUGGUAGGGAAGCAUUCCAAGGGCAUUGAAGCAGGAGGGUAACCGACUGUGGAGCGCUUGGAAGAGAGAAUGUUGGCCUGAGUAACCGCAUUGCAGGUGAAAGCCCUGCACACCGAAAGUCCAAGGUUUCCUUGGCAAUGGUAUUCAACCAAGGGUUAGGCGGUCCUAAGGUAAACCCGAAAGGGGUAGCUGAUGGACAGUAGAUUAAUAUUUCUACCCUUCUUUAUUUUUUCAAUAAAGUGCGGAAUUUAGUAAAUGAGGCGACUUAUUGGAUUGUCGUCGCUGGUCUGACGCAAGAAGGACAAGCGAGAAGUCGUAUUUAUACGGCGAAUCUCAUCGAGCAAGUUUCCCAGAAAAGCUUUAUUUAAAUAGAAUAAAAAGUUCGUACCGCAAACCGACACAGGUGGACAAGCGUAAGUAUGCUAAGGUGAACGGGUGAAACCUCGUUAAGGAACUAGGCAAUCAAGUGUCCGUAAGUUCGCGAUAAGGACUGCCCCGACCCGUAUGGGUUAGUUGCUGCAACAAAUGACCCAACGCGACUGUUUAUCAAAAACACAGGUCCCUGCUUAACUCGUAAGAGGAUGUAUAGGGGCUGAAACCUGACCAGUGCUGGAAUGUUAAAGGUGACGGUUGUUGUCGCAAGAUGACUGCUGAUUGCUCUA
This 1365-nucleotide ribosomal RNA is filed under the name Candidatus Woesebacteria bacterium. Its description in RNAcentral is "partial 23S ribosomal RNA". It matches the Rfam family "Bacterial large subunit ribosomal RNA", at positions 560 to 1916 of the family's 2925-position model. Lineage: Bacteria; Candidatus Woeseibacteriota. The record is from RNAcentral.